CCUACGGGAGGCAGCAGUGAGGAAUAUUGGUCAAUGGGCGAGAGCCUGAACCAGCCAAGUCGCGUGAAGGAUGACGGCCCUACGGGUUGUAAACUUCUUUUAUCAGGGAGCAAUUGAGUCCACGCAUGGGCUUAGCGAGAGUACCUGAAGAAAAAGCAUCGGCUAACUCCGUGCCAGCAGCCGCGGUAAUACGGAGGAUGCGAGCGUUAUCCGGAUUUAUUGGGUUUAAGGGGUGCGUAGGAGGAAUAUCAAGUCAGCGGGAAAAAUUCGGGGCCCAACCCCGUCGUGCAGUUGAAACUGAUGUUCUUGAGUGGGCGAGAAGUAUGCGGAAUGCGUGGUGUAGCGGUGAAAUGCAUAGAUAUCACGAAGAACUCCGAUUGCGAAGGUAGCAUACCGGCGCCCAACUGACGCUGAAGCACGAAAGCGUGGGUAUCGAACAGGAUUAGAUACCCCUGUAGUC
Molecule: ribosomal RNA, 460 nt
Filed under: uncultured bacterium
Lineage: Bacteria
Description: partial 16S ribosomal RNA
Rfam family: Bacterial small subunit ribosomal RNA
Source: RNAcentral